UACGUAGGGGGCUAGCGUUGUCCGGAAUCAUUGGGCGUAAAGCGCGUGUAGGCGGCCCGAUAAGUCCGCUGUGAAAGUCCAGGGCUCAACCCUGGGAUGCCGGUGGAUACUGUCGGGCUCGAGUCCGGAAGAGGCGAGUGGAAUUCCUGGUGUAGCGGUGAAAUGCGCAGAUAUCAGGAGGAACACCAAUGGCGAAGGCAG
Molecule: ribosomal RNA, 201 nt
Filed under: uncultured bacterium
Lineage: Bacteria
Description: partial 16S ribosomal RNA
Rfam family: Bacterial small subunit ribosomal RNA
Source: RNAcentral